UUGAUCCCUGGCUCAGGAUGAACGCUAGCGGCAGGCUUAACACAUGCAAGUCGAGGGGAAUUGGUCUUCGGACCAAGAGACCGGCGCACGGGUGCGUAACGCGUAUGCAAUCUACCUUUUGCAGAGGGAUAGCCCAGAGAAAUUUGGAUUAAUACCUCAUAGUAUAGCAGUUUCGCAUGAAACCACUAUUAAAGUCACAACGGCAAAAGAUGAGCAUGCGUCCCAUUAGCUAGUUGGUAAGGUAACGGCUUACCAAGGCUACGAUGGGUAGGGGUCCUGAGAGGGAGAUCCCCCACACUGGUACUGAGACACGGACCAGACUCCUACGGGAGGCAGCAGUGAGGAAUAUUGGACAAUGGGCGCAAGCCUGAUCCAGCCAUGCCGCGUGCAGGAUGACGGUCCUAUGGAUUGUAAACUGCUUUUGUACAGGAAGAAACACUCCCUCGUGAGGGAGCUUGACGGUACUGUAAGAAUAAGGAUCGGCUAACUC
RNAcentral lists this ribosomal RNA (490 nucleotides) under Flavobacterium sp. CL1.84. Its description in RNAcentral is "bacterial SSU rRNA". It matches the Rfam family "Bacterial small subunit ribosomal RNA", at positions 13 to 503 of the family's 1533-position model. The record is from RNAcentral. Lineage: Bacteria; Pseudomonadati; Bacteroidota; Flavobacteriia; Flavobacteriales; Flavobacteriaceae.